This 259-nucleotide ribosomal RNA is filed under the name uncultured bacterium. Its description in RNAcentral is "partial 16S ribosomal RNA". It matches the Rfam family "Bacterial small subunit ribosomal RNA", at positions 96 to 353 of the family's 1533-position model. The record is from RNAcentral.
UGGCGGACGGGUGAGUAACGCGUGGGUAACCUGCCCUGUACAGGGGGAUAACAGCUGGAAACGGCUGCUAAUACCGCAUAAGCGCACAGGACCGCAUGGUCCGGUGUGAAAAACUCCGGUGGUGUGAGAUGGACCCGCGUUUGAUUAGCUAGUUGGCAGGGUAACGGCCUACCAAGGCAACGAUCAGUAGCCGGUCUGAGAGGAUGAACGGCCACAUUGGAACUGAGACACGGUCCAAACUCCUACGGGAGGCAGCAUG